Molecule: ribosomal RNA, 500 nt
Filed under: uncultured bacterium
Lineage: Bacteria
Description: partial 16S ribosomal RNA
Rfam family: Bacterial small subunit ribosomal RNA
Source: RNAcentral
GACGAACGCUGGCGGCGUGCUUAACACAUGCAAGUCGAACGGGUCUGCCCUGUUUUUUGCGGGGUGGGUCAGUGGCGAACGGGUGAGUAACACGUGAGUAACCUGCCCCUCACUUCUGGAUAACCGCUUGAAAGGGUGGCUAAUACGGGGUGUUCUGGCUGUGCCGCAUGGUGUGGCUGGGAAAGAUUCACUUUUGUGGUGUUUUGGUGGGGGAUGGGCUCGCGGCCUAUCAGCUUGUUGGUGGGGUGAUGGCCUGCCAAGGCUUUGACGGGUAGCCGGCCUGAGAGGGUGGGCGGUCACACUGGGACUGAGAGACGGCCCAGACUCCUGCGGGAGGCAGCAGUGGGGGGUAUUGCACUAUGGGCGGAAGCCUGAUGCAGCGACGUCGCGUGAGGGAUGGAGGCCUGCGGGUUGUGAACCUCUUUCGCCGGUGAAGAAGGUCCUGCUCUUUGUGGUGGGGUUGACGGUAGCCGGGUUAUGAAGCGCCGGCUAACUACGUG